AGCAGUAGCCGCGGUAAUACGUAGGUCCCGAGCGUUGUCCGGAUUUAUUGGGCGUAAAGCGAGCGCAGGCGGUUAGAUAAGUCUGAAGUUAAAGGCCGUGGCUUAACCAUAGUACGCUUUGGAAACUGUUUAACUUGAGUGCAAGAGGGGAGAGUGGAAUUCCAUGUGUAGCGGUGAAAUGCGUGGAUAUAUGGAGGAACACCGGUGGCGAAAGCGGCUCUCUGGCUUGUAACUGACGCUGAGGCUCGAAAGCGUGGGGAGCAAACAGGAUUAGAUACCCCCGUAGUCCCUGUCUCUUAUACA
RNAcentral lists this ribosomal RNA (303 nucleotides) under uncultured bacterium. RNAcentral describes it as "partial 16S ribosomal RNA". It matches the Rfam family "Bacterial small subunit ribosomal RNA", at positions 507 to 808 of the family's 1533-position model. The record is from RNAcentral.